This 253-nucleotide ribosomal RNA is filed under the name uncultured bacterium. Its description in RNAcentral is "partial 16S ribosomal RNA". It matches the Rfam family "Bacterial small subunit ribosomal RNA", at positions 524 to 776 of the family's 1533-position model. The record is from RNAcentral.
UACGUAGGGUGCGAGCGUUGUCCGGAAUUAUUGGGCGUAAAGGGCUCGUAGGCGGUUUGUCGCGUCGGGAGUGAAAACACCGGGCUUAACUCGGUGCUGGCUUUCGAUACGGGCAGACUAGAGGUAUUCAGGGGAGAACGGAAUUCCUGGUGUAGCGGUGAAAUGCGCAGAUAUCAGGAGGAACACCGGUGGCGAAGGCGGGUCUCUGGACAGUUCCUGACGCUGAGGCACGAAGGUCAGGGGAGCAAACGGG